UUUCUGGUUGAUCCUGCCAGACCUGACUGCUAUCGGAUUGAUACUAAGCCAUGCGAGUCGUUGUAGUAAUACAAGGCAUACGGCUCAGUAACGCGUAGUCAACCUAACCUAUGGACGGGAAUAACCUCGGGAAACUGAGUAUAAUGCCCGAUAGAACAUUAUGCCUGGAAUGGUUUAUGUUCCAAAUGAUUUAUCGCCGUAGGAUGGGACUGCGGCCUAUCAGUUUGUUGGUGAGGUAAUGGCCCACCAAGACUAUUACAGGUACGGGCUCUGAGAGGAGUAGCCCGGAGAUGGGUACUGAGACACGGACCCAGGCCCUAUGGGGCGCAGCAGGCGAGAAAACUUUGCAAUGUGCGAAAGCACGACAAGGUUAAUCCGAGUGGUUUCUGCUAAAGGAACCUUUUGUUAGUCCUAGAAACACUAACGAAUAAGGGGUGGGCAAGUUCUGGUGUCAGCCGCCGCGGUAAAACCAGCACCUCAAGUGGUCAGGAUGAUUAUUGGGCCUAAAGCAUCCGUAGCCGGAUCUGUAAGUUUUCGGUUAAAUCUGUACGCUCAACGUACAGGCUGCCGGGAAUACUGCAGAUCUAGGGAGUGGGAGAGGUAGACGGUACUCGGGAGGAAGGGGUAAAAUCCUUUGAUCUCUCGAUGACCACCUGUGGCGAAGGCGGUCUACCAGAACACGUCCGACGGUGAGGGAUGAAAGCUGGGGGAGCAAACCGGAUUAGAUACCCGGGUAGUCCCAGCUGUAAACUAUGCAAACUCAGUGAUGCAUUGACUUGUGGUCAAUGCAGUGCUGCAGGGAAGCCGUUAAGUUUGCCGCCUGGGAAGUACGUACGCAAGUAUGAAACUUAAAGGAAUUGGCGGGGGAGCACCACAAGGGGUGAAGCCUGCGGUUCAA
RNAcentral lists this ribosomal RNA (898 nucleotides) under uncultured archaeon. RNAcentral describes it as "bacterial SSU rRNA". It matches the Rfam family "Archaeal small subunit ribosomal RNA", at positions 1 to 905 of the family's 1478-position model. The record is from RNAcentral.